Molecule: ribosomal RNA, 491 nt
Filed under: uncultured bacterium
Lineage: Bacteria
Description: partial 16S ribosomal RNA
Rfam family: Bacterial small subunit ribosomal RNA
Source: RNAcentral
GUGAACGCUGGCGGUAGGCCUAACACAUGCAAGUCGAACGGCAGCACCGUAAGAGCUUGCUCUUACGGGUGGCGAGUGGCGGACGGGUGAGGAAUGCAUCGGAAUCUACUUUUUCGUGGGGGAUAACGUAGGGAAACUUACGCUAAUACCGCAUACGACCUACGGGUGAAAGCAGGGGAUCUUCGGACCUUGCGCGAUUGAAUGAGCCGAUGUCGGAUUAGCUAGUUGGCGGGGUAAAGGCCCACCAAGGCGACGAUCCGUAGCUGGUCUGAGAGGAUGAUCAGCCACACUGGAACUGAGACACGGUCCAGACUCCUACGGGAGGCAGCAGUGGGGAAUAUUGGACAAUGGGCGCAAGCCUGAUCCAGCCAUACCGCGUGGGUGAAGAAGGCCUUCGGGUUGUAAAGCCCUUUUGUUGGGAAAGAAAAGCAGCAGGUUAAUACCCCGCUGUUCUGACGGUACCCAAAGAAUAAGCACCGGCUAACUUCGUG